RNAcentral lists this transfer RNA (71 nucleotides) under Ovis aries (sheep). It matches the Rfam family "tRNA". Rfam says of the family: Transfer RNA (tRNA) molecules are approximately 80 nucleotides in length. Their secondary structure includes four short double-helical elements and three loops (D, anti-codon, and T loops). Lineage: Eukaryota; Metazoa; Chordata; Mammalia; Artiodactyla; Bovidae. The record is from Rfam by way of RNAcentral.
CCUUGGUGGCUUAGAGGGUAAAGCAUCUGCCUGCAAUGCAGGAGACCCAGGUUCGAUCCCUGGGUCAGGGA